This 667-nucleotide long non-coding RNA is filed under the name Vigna radiata. RNAcentral describes it as "long non-coding RNA (VRAD_LNC006820)". Lineage: Eukaryota; Viridiplantae; Streptophyta; Magnoliopsida; Fabales; Fabaceae. The record is from RNAcentral.
AUAUUCACAAAUGCUAUAAUGCAGAAACAUAUCCUAAUAUACAAAAAAAAAUGCAAAAAAGAAGACCAUAUUCUAAACUAAAAAGAAACAACUAUGCACAGUAAACAAAAAUACAAUCAAGAAAACAAACCUAAACAAGACAAACCUAACACUCUAAAACUUAACUCGUUGAGUCCCCAACAAUGGCACCAUUUGUUAAACUGUCUUUUAGUCACUUAAGGCAGAACAAAGAACUGGUCCCCACUAAUGAAGUAUAGGGCAACCAGAAUAUCAAUCUUAGGACUCAGCUAAUUAAGACUAAAGUGUAGGGUUAGGUCUUGUACUUAUUUACUAUUAACUAAACUACAAGACAGGGUGGGGACACUUAAAAUGAAUGAAUGAAAUUAAAAAGAAAAGAGAAAAUCUAAAAUCUAUAAAUUUUUUAAAAGAAGAAAGAAAUUGAAGUGAACUAAAAUAAAAUACAAUAGAACUCUAAACUACCUAAAACAACAACAGAACCUAUGCAAUUAAAAUGAUCUAAAACUAAUGAAUCCAAAUAUGCAAAUUAAAGAAACCUAGUGCUAAACAUAUGAAAUCAAUUAACAAAUGAAUCUCCUAGUUGUAUGCCUAUUCUAAAAAAUGUAAAUGUAAAGACUAGAUCAUCACAGAACAGAACCGAAUGGAAGGU